This 469-nucleotide ribosomal RNA is filed under the name uncultured bacterium. RNAcentral describes it as "partial 16S ribosomal RNA". It matches the Rfam family "Bacterial small subunit ribosomal RNA", at positions 28 to 508 of the family's 1533-position model. The record is from RNAcentral.
GACGAACGCUGGCGGCGUGCUUAACACAUGCAAGUCGAACGGAAAGGCCCUGCUUUUGUGGGGUGCUCGAGUGGCGAACGGGUGAGUAACACGUGAGUAACCUGCCCUUGACUUUGGGAUAACUUCAGGAAACUGGGGCUAAUACCGGAUAGGAGCUCCUGCUGCAUGGUGGGGGUUGGAAAGUUUCGGCGGUUGGGGAUGGACUCGCGGCUUAUCAGCUUGUUGGUGGGGUAGUGGCUUACCAAGGCUUUGACGGGUAGCCGGCCUGAGAGGGUGACCGGGCAACAUGGGAAUGGGAAAAGGGCCAGAAUCCCAAGGGAGGGAAGAGGGGGGGAUAAUGCAAAAAGGGCGGGAGCCUGAUGCAGGAAAGGCGCGGGGGGGAAGACGGGCUUUGGGUUGGAAAACGCUUUUGGCUGGUACGAAGGGUGAGUGGAGGUAAAGGGUAAAGAAGCAACGGGCAAAUAAGGGG